This 1406-nucleotide long non-coding RNA is filed under the name Felis catus (domestic cat). RNAcentral describes it as "lncRNA (ENSFCAG00000050708.1)". The stretch from base 496 to 565 matches the Rfam family "mir-24 microRNA precursor family". Lineage: Eukaryota; Metazoa; Chordata; Mammalia; Carnivora; Felidae. The record is from RNAcentral.
GGGAUGGAGCCGGGCCCGCGACCGACCCCGGCCCGUCUCGGGUCCGCCGCCCGCCCGCGUCUCUGCCGCCGGGCCCGGGGCGGCGGCCGGAGCCCCGAGUGCCGGCUCCCCUCCCCCGCGGGUGCCAACCUCCGGUCCCACCCGGUGCCCCCCAACCCCUGUGCCAUGGCCGGCUGGGGUUCCUGGGGAUGGGAUUUGCUGCCUGUCACAAAUCACAUUGCCAGGGAUUUCCAACCGACCCUGAGCCCUGCCUCUGGGGCUGCCGCCACCGCCUUCGCUGCUGAGGACGCUGCCCGGGGAUAGGGCCGGGGAUGGGAGGCCGAGAGGCCCCCCGCCCCCUGCUGCCUGCGUCUGGCCUGGGGAGCAGGGCUUAGCUGCUUGUGAGCAGAGUCCACACCAAGUCGUGUUCACAGUGGCUAAGUUCCGCCCCCCGGGACCCCGCCUCCUCUGGCCCUGCCGCCUGCCUGUCCCACUGUCCGGGCCUCCCUGGGCUCUGCCUCCCGUGCCUACUGAGCUGAAACACAGUUGAUUUGUGCAGACUGGCUCAGUUCAGCAGGAACAGGAGUCGAGCCCCCUCGAAGCCUGUGCAGCCUGCCUUCCUCGGGUGGGCUGAUUCCUAGGGGACAAGCUGAGGACCCAGACCCAGACCUGGGUUGGGCGGAGGGACUUGGGGGAGGGGCAAUAUCGCCUGGAAUGGGGUGGGUGGACCCAGCUGUCUGCUGUAGGAGCCCUCCCCCAACUCUGUACGUGGGGGUCCUGCCCUCUGCACAGUCCUACUUCCGGCUGAGGCUGGACAGAACUCCUAGGGAGAAUGGGCAGGUGGGUGGGUGGCCCUCCCACUAGAAAGGGAAGCCAUCUGGGUCCCUAUCCCCUCCCAGUACCCCUCCCAGCCUGGAGCCUUGGCCUUUUCUCUCCCAGGCCUGGUGGGACGUGGGCCAGGCCUGUACCUUCCCAGCAGCCAGUUACUCAAGAGGAAGCUGCCCUGGGCCCCCAGACCGUUAAAUGCCAACUCCGGCUUCCGGAACCAGGCUGGCCUGACCUGAGUGUGCCUGGCCUCUUCUCCCUGAACCCUGCGGCGUCCUAACUUUGGGGUGUGGGGAGAGCUGUGACACUCUCCGGGCACGUGGAGCAGGGAGCAAGGUCCCUUGUGGGCCCAGAAAGGACACAGACGGGCCUGUUGAGUCCGCCGGUGGCCCUGCAGCGCACCUGCUACUACAAGACCUGAGACUGUCCAGUAUCAGAUGGGAUGGACUCUGAGUGCGACCAGGCAGAGAGAAGCCCCCUAGGCUGUCAGGGCUGGCCCAGGGUACCCUUUCACCCAGGGAUAGGGGCAUACUUCAGCUCGGGGCAGGGUCUGUGCUGUGUGUUGCUGCUGUCCAAUUAAAUAAAACCUGCCUCCUACCUCA